UCUGGGACAAGCCCUGGAAACGGGGUCUAAUACCGGAUAGCACUUCCACUCGCAUGGGUGGGGGUUGAAAGCUCCGGCGGUGAAGGAUGAGCCCGCGGCCUAUCAGCUUGUUGGUGAGGUAAUGGCUCACCAAGGCGACGACGGGUAGCCGGCCUGAGAGGGCGACCGGCCACACUGGGACUGAGACACGGCCCAGACUCCUACGGGAGGCAGCAGUGGGGAAUAUUGCACAAUGGGCGAAAGCCUGAUGCAGCGACGCCGCGUGAGGGAUGACGGCCUUCGGGUUGUAAACCUCUUUCAGCAGGGAAGAAGCGAAAGUGACGGUACCUGCAGAAGAAGCGCCGGCUAACUACGUGCCAGCAGCCGCGGUAAUACGUAGGGCGCAAGCGUUGUCCGGAAUUAUUGGGCGUAAAGAGCUCGUAGGCGGUCUGUCGCGUCGGAUGUGAAAGCCCGGGGCUUAACCCCGGGUCUGCAUUCGAUACGGGCAGACUAGAGUGUGGUAGGGGAGAUCGGAAUUCCUGGUGUAGCGGUGAAAUGCGCAGAUAUCAGGAGGAACACCGGUGGCGAAGGCGGAUCUCUGGGCCAUUACUGACGCUGAGGAGCGAAAGCGUGGGGAGCGAACAGGAUUAGAUACCCUGGUAGUCCACGCCGUAAACGGUGGGAACUAGGUGUUGGCGACAUUCCACGUCGUCGUGCCCGCAGCUAACGCAUUAAGUUCCCCGCCUGG
Molecule: ribosomal RNA, 727 nt
Filed under: Streptomyces sp.
Lineage: Bacteria; Bacillati; Actinomycetota; Actinomycetes; Kitasatosporales; Streptomycetaceae
Description: bacterial SSU rRNA
Rfam family: Bacterial small subunit ribosomal RNA
Source: RNAcentral